CGCGCAGGCGGUUUUUCAAGUCAGUGGUGAAAGCCCGGAGCUCAACUCCGGAAAUGCCAUUGAAACUGUAAAACUUGAGGACGAGAGAGGUGAGUGGAAUUCCCAGUGUAGAGGUGAAAUUCGUAGAUAUUGGGAAGAACACCGGUGGCGAAGGCGGCUCACUGGCUCGUUUCUGACGCUCAGGCGCGAUAGCGUGGGGAUCAAACAGGAUUAGAUACCCUGGUAGUCCACGCCGUAAACGAUGGAUGCUAGCCGUUGGAUAGCUUGCUAUUCAGUGGCGCAGCUAACGCAUUAAGCAUCCCGCCUGGGGAGUACGGCCGCAAGGUUGAA
This 330-nucleotide ribosomal RNA is filed under the name uncultured bacterium. RNAcentral's name for it is "bacterial SSU rRNA". It matches the Rfam family "Bacterial small subunit ribosomal RNA", at positions 568 to 898 of the family's 1533-position model. The record is from RNAcentral.